UGAGGAAUAUUGGGCAACGCCCGCAAGGGUGACCCAGCAACGCCGCGUGGAGGAUGAAUGUCGUAAGAUUGUAAACUCCUGUUAGAGGGGAAGAAUAGUACCGGUUGGACCGGUAUAUGACUGUACCCUCAGAGAAAGCCCCGGCUAACUACGUGCCAGCAGCCGCGGUAAUACGUAGGGGGCAAGCGUUGUCCGGAUUUACUGGGUGUAAAGGGCGCGCAGGCGGGAUAAAAAGUCAGUGGUGAAAUCCUACAGCUUAACUGUAGAACUGCCUUUGAUACUUUUAUUCUUGAGUUCGGGAGAGAGAGACGGAAUUCCAGGUGUAGUGGUGAAAUACGUAGAUAUCUGGAAGAACACCAGUUGCGAAGGCGGUCUCUUGGUCCGACACUGACGCUGAGGCGCGAAAGCGUGGGGAGCAAACA
RNAcentral lists this ribosomal RNA (422 nucleotides) under uncultured bacterium. Its description in RNAcentral is "bacterial SSU rRNA". It matches the Rfam family "Bacterial small subunit ribosomal RNA", at positions 355 to 774 of the family's 1533-position model. The record is from RNAcentral.